Molecule: ribosomal RNA, 253 nt
Filed under: uncultured bacterium
Lineage: Bacteria
Description: partial 16S ribosomal RNA
Rfam family: Bacterial small subunit ribosomal RNA
Source: RNAcentral
UACAGAGGUCCCGAGCGUUGUUCGGAUUUAUUGGGCGUAAAGGGUGCGUAGGCGGCGGAGUAAGUUGGGUGUGAAAUCCCGGGGCUCAACCUCGGAAUGGCAUUCAAUACUGCUUCGCUAGAGUACUGGAGAGGAGGUUGGAAUUUACGGUGUAGCAGUGAAAUGCGUAGAUAUCGUAAGGAAGGCCGGUGGCGAAAGCGAGCCUCUGGACAGUUACUGACGCUGAUGCACGAAGGCCAGGGGAGCAAACGGG